GCUAAGCCAAUCCCACAAAUCUGUUCUCAGUUCGGAUCGCAGUCUGCAACUCGACUGCGUGAAGCUGGAAUCGCUAGUAAUCGCGGAUCACAUGCCGCGGUGAAUACGUUCCCGGGCCUUGUACACACCGCCCGUCACACCACGAGAGUUUGUAACACCCGAAGUCGGUGAGGUAACCUUUUGGAGCCAGCCGCCGAAGGUGGGACAGAUGAUUGGGGUGAAGUCGUAACAAGGUAGCCGUAUCGGAAGGUGCGGUGGAU
RNAcentral lists this ribosomal RNA (260 nucleotides) under Bacillus licheniformis. Its description in RNAcentral is "partial 16S ribosomal RNA". It matches the Rfam family "Bacterial small subunit ribosomal RNA", at positions 1262 to 1523 of the family's 1533-position model. The record is from RNAcentral. Lineage: Bacteria; Bacillati; Bacillota; Bacilli; Caryophanales; Bacillaceae.